UUCCAGGUAGCUUAAUGGUAAAGCACCCAAAUGGCUAUUGGAGGAUCUGGGUUCAAGUUCCAGCUCGGAUG
RNAcentral lists this transfer RNA (71 nucleotides) under Strigamia maritima. It matches the Rfam family "tRNA". Rfam says of the family: Transfer RNA (tRNA) molecules are approximately 80 nucleotides in length. Their secondary structure includes four short double-helical elements and three loops (D, anti-codon, and T loops). The record is from Rfam by way of RNAcentral. Lineage: Eukaryota; Metazoa; Arthropoda; Chilopoda; Geophilomorpha; Linotaeniidae.